This 146-nucleotide non-coding RNA is filed under the name human gut metagenome. The record is from RNAcentral.
AGGAUCUUAGAAGUUCUACUAUUUCGUGCACAAUCAGCAAGGAUUGGACACGGAUGUCCAAUCCAGCAGCAAUCGAGCCCGGAUGGCUCGUUGAUGCGUUUGCGUCCUACCUAUAUAGCCUAUCCGAAAUAGUUUAGAACAACCAA